Molecule: ribosomal RNA, 352 nt
Filed under: uncultured bacterium
Lineage: Bacteria
Description: bacterial SSU rRNA
Rfam family: Bacterial small subunit ribosomal RNA
Source: RNAcentral
AGAGUUUGAUCAUGGCUCAGGAUGAACGCUAGCUACAGGCUUAACACAUGCAAGUCGAGGGGAAACGACAUCGAAAGCUUGCUUUUGAUGGGCGUCGACCGGCGCACGGGUGAGUAACGCGUAUCCAACCUGCCCAUCACUUGGGGAUAACCUUGCGAAAGUAAGACUAAUACCCAAUGAUAUCUCUAGAAGACAUCUGAAAGAGAUUAAAGAUUUAUCGGUGAUGGAUGGGGAUGCGUCUGAUUAGCUUGUUGGCGGGGUAACGGCCACCAAGGCUACGAUCAGUAGGGGUUCUGGAGAGGAAGGUCCCCCANAUUGGAACUGAGACACGGUCCAAACUCCUACGGGAGCA